CAAAAUGCAAAGCUGACUCAAACACUACAGAGUAUACUUUCAAACUGAGGAACAGAGAUGAGCUGAAUACUAGAGGGACCAGGAGAGGCAGAGAUGCUGAUCAGAUGUAAAAUAGAAAUCUGCAGCUCUGUGAAGGGGACCAGGCUAAGGAUGAGGUCCUGAUAUCAGGAGUUUAAGCCUGUGAUGAACCCUUUUGUUGUUUGUCUCCAGAAGAAGGAGCCCAGGAGACCACUCUUUCUUUAUGUCUCCCUGAUGUAUGAAAUCACUGCAGUGUCCCUCACACUGCUUCAGGAAUAACGAAGGCUGGAAAAAUACUUUUCUCAGGCAUCUGUUCUUUCCACAGUAGCCCUUCUUCUGUGGAUAGAGAGGUUUGUACUUUUAUUAUGACUAAAGUGCAGGUAUAGUUUUGUCAAGACAAAGUAAUUACAUCAAACACAGACCUGAUCUAGUCUAAUAAUGACAAAGCUACACAGCUGAAAUG
Anas platyrhynchos (mallard) is the source of this 481-nucleotide long non-coding RNA. RefSeq lists it as uncharacterized. Lineage: Eukaryota; Metazoa; Chordata; Aves; Anseriformes; Anatidae. The record is from RefSeq and is a predicted model, not a curated record.